AGUCCUAGCACCUCUGUCGAUGCGGAGGUCACGGCCGCCACCGCCGACCCCGGCGACGGCACCAGCGCGAGCGGGCCGCCGGCGAUGGGCAUUGAGGAGAGCUGGCUCGUUAUCGACGAUGCAGUCGACCACCUGCUGCACCGCGCUGGCGAGCACGGAGCUGUGUUUCAGCCAUCCCCAGUACCCAUGGCCGCAAGUUCGAGCUGUCAUGCUCUACGUAGAGAAUGAGACGGUUGUCGAAUUCAAAGAGCUAUAACCUCGGCGGUCGAUUUAAGUGACCACCUGCCGGGACAGAGACUGACCGGCAGAGAUCUGUUGUGCCUCAUACUUUUCUCUGUUUGUUUCUGUUUUCUGUUCCGCAAGUUUUUGUCUUUAUAACUAGUUGCAGUUGAAUCAGCUUGUUGCUGUUCGUUUAUAUUUUGUUGCAGGGUGUCCCUUAACCGUAAAGAGACGUGAAACGUUGGACGCUAAUGAAUGAGAUACAAGGCACUUUGAUGUAAAGCACAGGCAGGGCUUUGGAGUCGGAAAUGUAUCAGUUAACCAAACCAUUGAAACUGUGUUUGCGUAUGACUAUUGAAACUGCGUCUUUCACAUGCUGGUUGCACGACCUUUCUACAGAAUACGAAAUAACAUAAUCGCACAUAAGACUGUGAAAUAAAAAGCUGCUUGGUAUAAUAGGUCAGUCUGCUCCUUAUGAAGUUAUGAUGGGUUCCUAUAGCUGGUCUGGUCUUGCAACCAGCUAUGAUCAUUGAGCGUUACCGUCCAUAAUAGGUUGUCCAGCCUGCUUGUUCGUAUGUGCAUAAAAUACGGAUUUAACUUUGCUGUUC
This 827-nucleotide long non-coding RNA is filed under the name Amphibalanus amphitrite. RNAcentral's name for it is "uncharacterized LOC122385402". The record is from RNAcentral. Lineage: Eukaryota; Metazoa; Arthropoda; Thecostraca; Balanomorpha; Balanidae.